CACGCCGUAAACGAUGAGCACUAGGUGUCGGGGUCGCAAGGCCUCGGUGCCGGAGUUAACGCAAUAAGUGCUCCGCCUGGGGAGUACGGCCGCAAGGCUAAAACUCAAAGGAAUUGACGGGGGCCCGCACAAGCAGUGGAGUAUGUGGUUUAAUUCGAAGCAACGCGAAGAACCUUACCAGGGCUUGACAUCCUCGGACGACACUAGAGAUAGUGUUUUCUCUUCGGAGACUGAGAGACAGGUGG
Molecule: ribosomal RNA, 245 nt
Filed under: uncultured Eubacteriales bacterium
Lineage: Bacteria; Bacillati; Bacillota; Clostridia; Eubacteriales
Description: uncultured Clostridiales bacterium partial 16S ribosomal RNA
Rfam family: Bacterial small subunit ribosomal RNA
Source: RNAcentral